RNAcentral lists this ribosomal RNA (229 nucleotides) under uncultured bacterium. RNAcentral describes it as "partial 16S ribosomal RNA". It matches the Rfam family "Bacterial small subunit ribosomal RNA", at positions 568 to 796 of the family's 1533-position model. The record is from RNAcentral.
UACGUAGGCGGAAAAAUAAGUCAGUGGUGAAAUCCUGCAGCUCAACUGUAGAACUGCCAUUGAAACUGUUUUUCUUGAGUAUAGUUGAGGUGGGCGGAAUGUGUCAUAUAGCGGUGAAAUGCUUAGAUAUGACACAGAACACCGAUUGCGUAGGCAGCUCACUAAACUAUCACUGACGCUGAGGUACGAAAGCGUGGGGAGCGAACAGGAUUAGAUACCCUGGUAGUCC